This is a long non-coding RNA of Aquila chrysaetos chrysaetos, 1180 nucleotides long. RefSeq lists it as uncharacterized. The record is from RefSeq and is a predicted model, not a curated record. The transcript has 2 exons. NCBI's taxonomy places the organism in Eukaryota, Metazoa, Chordata, Aves, Accipitriformes, Accipitridae.
CACCCACACCCCCCCCCCAACCCCCCCCUCCCCGAGGCUCCUUGUCCCCAGGGUCGUCCACCCCAAAAAAACCCUUUGUGUCACUGCGGUGAUGAGCUGCCCUGUUCUCAUCACCGCCCCCCCCGCCAGCUGUUUAUAGAAGAAUCCAGAUGUUGGGAACAUCUGGCCAGGAAGUGCCCCCCCCCAGCUCCGUUCCCAGAGGGAGGGCCCUGCAGGGAUCCUGACCCCCGCCCCUAAAAAUGGGGUGCUACCCCCCCCAUGCUUGGACCCGCCAAAAUCACUUUUAUUGUGUGGGAAUGGGCCAAAAUUGGAGGGGGGAGCAGUACUGGGGGGGGGGACUGGGAAUAUUGGGGGGGCUGGGGGUACGGGGAGGGGUUGGGAGGCACAACCCGUACCCCAAAAGAUGUUAGGGUUCCACAGCCGUGGGCGGGGUGGGGCACCCAUGGAGGAGGGACCGUGAGGCCCCAGCAUCCUCCCCUGGGACGGGGUGGGCAUGUUGGGGUGCUGACCCCCCCGCCCCCCCCAGCCUGGGCACCCCAAAAAUGGCCAGGGCGCCCCAAGCUGAAUGCAAUCUGGGGGGGGGGGCUCCCUGGGGAUGGGACUGGGGGUCCCUGGCAGGGGGGGGACGACCAGCCCUGGCACCCCAAACGGCACCUGCUGCAGUGGGGGGGGGGUGGGACACCCCACAACCCCCCCUGCCUGUACCCUACUGUGGGGGGGACCCCCAAAACCCCACCUGCACCCCAAACCCCAUAGACACCCCCAGAUCCUAUAGGUGUUCCCCCAAACCUCCCAGAAGCACCCCCAACCACCCCAGAUGCCUCCCAAACCCCACACUUGCACCCCCAAACCUUACACUCACCCUCCAAACCCCCACCUGCACCCUGAAACCCCCCAGAUGCACCCCAAACCACCCACCUGCACCCCCAAACCCCCCAGACGCACCCCAAACCCCAGGACACCAAUGCUCAACCGUCAGCUCCUCAACAGGAUUUGGAAGAUACCCCCAAAAAAGGGAAGAAAAGGGAGAAAAAAACCCAACCCCAAGCCCCAAUUUUGGUGCAAACCCCAGCCUGCGGAACUUUUGGGGGCUGUAAAUAUUUUGUCACCUUCUCGGGGAUUCGAAGUGCCCCAGUUGUCUUGAAAACCUCCAAGAAACGGCAUAAAAAUAUUUACUUCC